This 237-nucleotide ribosomal RNA is filed under the name uncultured Actinomycetales bacterium. RNAcentral describes it as "partial 16S ribosomal RNA". It matches the Rfam family "Bacterial small subunit ribosomal RNA", at positions 97 to 334 of the family's 1533-position model. Lineage: Bacteria; Bacillati; Actinomycetota; Actinomycetes; Actinomycetales. The record is from RNAcentral.
GGCGAACGGGUGAGUAACACGUGAGUAACCUGCCCUUGACUUUGGGAUAACUUCAGGAAACUGGGGCUAAUACCGGAUAGGAGCUCCUGCUGCAUGGUGGGGGUUGGGAAAGUUUCGGCGGUUGGGGAUGGACUCGCGGCUUAUCAGCUUGUUGGUGGGGUAGUGGCUUACCAAGGCUUUGACGGGUAGCCGGCCUGAGAGGGUGAUCGGCCACACUGGAACUGAGACACGGUCCAG